This 374-nucleotide unclassified non-coding RNA is filed under the name fungal sp. Its description in RNAcentral is "partial internal transcribed spacer region". The stretch from base 1 to 46 matches the Rfam family "Eukaryotic small subunit ribosomal RNA", at positions 1786 to 1831 of the family's 1831-position model. Lineage: Eukaryota; Fungi. The record is from RNAcentral.
AAGUCGUAACAAGGUUUCCGUAGGUGAACCUGCGGAAGGAUCAUUAACACGUAUCCAAACGUUAACCCCCUGUGAACCUUCAAUGUGCUCGUACACUUUGUCAAAGCGAGGCAAUCCCUGGUAAAUCAUCGCCGAACAGUUUUGAUUCUGGGACUUCCUCAAAGAGUGUGCAUGUUGCGCGAGGCAAGUGGCCUGGCAUUCCCAAGCAGUUAAUGUCUGAAAGUGUCAUUGGCUGUGUAAGGAUGACGCAGUAACGAUCGUUGGAGGCCGACACGGCCGACGACCGGGUCACCUGGCGCAAGCCCCUUUAUCACCACUUGAUGCAUGGGCGACCAAAAACCGAACAACUGUUAACAAUGGAUAUCUUGGUUCUC